UUGGAACAGGAUGUCAGAGAGGGUGAGAACCCCGUCUGUGGCCCGGUGGCCGAUCUGUAGCUCCUUCGACGAGUCGAGUUGUUUGGGAAUGCAGCUCUAAAUGGGUGGUAAAUCUCAUCUAAAGCUAAAUACUGGCCAGAGACCGAUAGCGCACAAGUAGAGUGAUCGAAAGAUGAAAAGCACUUUGGAAAGAGAGUCAAACAGCACGUGAAAUUGUUGAAAGGGAAGCGCUUGCCACCAGACCCGGGUAAGGCCGAUCCGCCGGGCCCUCUCGGCCCUGCCCGGGCCAGCAUCGGCUCGGGGGACGGGAGGAAGGUGUUGGGACUGUAGCUCCCUCAGUGGAGAAUAUUGCCCGACAUGUCACGCCGCCCCCCGGGUCGAGGCCCGCGCUCCGGCAAGGAUGCUGGCGUAAUGGUGGCCAGCGACCCGUCUUGAAACACGGACCAAGGAGUCUAACGUCUACGCGAGUGUUUGGGCGUCAACCCCGGGCGCGCAAUGAAAGUGAACGGAGGUGGGAGCCCUCGCACCAUCGACCGAUCCUGAUGUCUUCGGAUGGAUUUGAGUACGAGCGUAGCCGUUGGGACCCGAAAGAUGGUGAACUAUGCCUGAAUAGGGUGAAGCCAGAGGAAACUCUGGUGGAGGCUCGCAGCGGUUCUGACGUGCAAAUCGAUCGUCAAAUUUGGGUAUAGGGGCGCAAGACCAAUCGAACUAUCUAGUAGCUGGUUCCUGCCGAAGUUUCCCUCAGGA
RNAcentral lists this ribosomal RNA (747 nucleotides) under Cladopsis foederata. RNAcentral describes it as "eukaryotic LSU rRNA". It matches the Rfam family "Eukaryotic large subunit ribosomal RNA", at positions 190 to 978 of the family's 3401-position model. Lineage: Eukaryota; Fungi; Ascomycota; Lichinomycetes; Lichinales; Porocyphaceae. The record is from RNAcentral.